Solanum verrucosum is the source of this 254-nucleotide long non-coding RNA. RefSeq lists it as uncharacterized. The record is from RefSeq and is a predicted model, not a curated record. The transcript is spliced from 3 exons. NCBI's taxonomy places the organism in Eukaryota, Viridiplantae, Streptophyta, Magnoliopsida, Solanales, Solanaceae.
GAUUGAAUUGGAAAAAGUGGAGGAUAAUCCAAAACAUGAUGAAAUAUCAACCUUGGAAAAGUUUCUAUUUAGCUUUGGUUCACUUGAACAACUUUAUUUGGGUUCCUUGAUCCUUGAGGUAAGAAAUCUACACGUUGUUUCACUUGAAUUGGAAAAAGUGAUUGAUUGUAUUCAUCGGAUUCUAAUUAUAGUACUUGACUGAAAGCUUUUGAAUGCAAAUAUAGUUCUGGAUGAGCUUCCUCCCAAGCUCAACU